This is a long non-coding RNA of Actinia tenebrosa (Australian red waratah sea anemone), 389 nucleotides long. RefSeq lists it as uncharacterized. The record is from RefSeq and is a predicted model, not a curated record. Lineage: Eukaryota; Metazoa; Cnidaria; Anthozoa; Actiniaria; Actiniidae.
UCGUACUUGAAGUGAAGACAGCUUUGAAUGCCUUUAUUUUUAGAGUUGUUACAAAGAAACUGGUCUAAAGUUUAGGGGGGACGAAGGAGAAGGAGAAGGAGAAGCAGUUGGAGAAGGAGAAGGAGAAGGAGAAGGAGAAGGAGAAGGAGAAGAGUGAUUCAGAAAACUAUCUACGAUUAUGCAAGGAUAAAAGACCCUCAAAAACCAUCAGAAUAAACAGAGGUGCAUGCAAUCAUUCUUUGAGAAAGUUUACCCAAUUGGAAAAUCUUUGAGUAGAGUUUGUUAGGUCUCUCCCUUGAUUAGAGGGGUUUGUUCGGGUUCUCAGCACUCUUUUUCACCCUCCGUAAAACACCAACAGGCUAAUUUCCAAUACAAUGAUAUUCAAUCAA